AACAAACAACAGUCUGCCCAACUUGGAACCAGAACAUCAUAAAAACACUGUGUAAAGACAAUAAAACGAUCCAUCAACCACCACACCUUUAUUGAGUGCCAUGAAACCAUGAGAAGUUGAGAUUACUACUUGUAAGCUUAUCCACCAAGAUGCAUUUCAACAGAGCUGGAGAAAGGAAAUGACCAAAAGAUUGCACUCCCAACGCCUGACAUCCAGACAUCAGUGUUCCUAGGAAUGUGAUACUGCCGACCUACUGUAGAGGUUAGAGUGUAGGGGCGACAGGUAGCCUAGUGGUUAGAGUGUAGGGGAGACAGGUAGCCUAGUGGUUAGAGUGUAGGGGAGACAGGUAGCCUAGUGGUUAGAGUGUAGGGGAGACAGGUAGCCUAGCGGUUAGAGUGUAGGGGCGACAGGUAGCCUAGUGGUUAGAGUGUAGGGGUGACAGGUAGCCUAGUGGUUAGAGUGUAGGGGCGACAGGUAGCCUAGUGGUUAGAGUGUAGGGGUGACAGGUAGCCUAGUGGUUAGAGUGUAGGGGCGACAGGUAGCCUAGUGGUUAGAGUGUAGGGGCGACAGGUAGCCUAGCGGUAUGAGAUUUCUGUGUUAUGCACUAUAGACCGUUACCAUAUAUGUGAUUGAAUAUUAUCUGCUGUUGGCUUGUGUGUUAAUGUAUGUAGGUGUUAUUCAACAUAGCUG
This is a long non-coding RNA of Oncorhynchus tshawytscha (Chinook salmon), 690 nucleotides long. NCBI's taxonomy places the organism in Eukaryota, Metazoa, Chordata, Actinopteri, Salmoniformes, Salmonidae. The record is from Ensembl.